Molecule: ribosomal RNA, 366 nt
Filed under: Coelinius muesebecki
Lineage: Eukaryota; Metazoa; Arthropoda; Insecta; Hymenoptera; Braconidae
Description: partial large subunit ribosomal RNA
Source: RNAcentral
GGCUGCAGAAUUUAUAACUGUACAAAGGUAGCAUAAUAAUUUGUUUUUUAAUUAAAAACUAGAAUGAAUGAUUAAAUGAAAUAUAAACUGUUUCAAUUAAAUAAAAAUUUAAAUUUUUAUUUAAGUUAAAAAACUUAAAUAAAUUUAAAAGACGAUAAGACCCUAUAGAAUUUUAUUUAUUCUAUAAAAAUAUUUAUUUAAUAAUUUAUUAUUUUUAUAGAAAUAAAUUUAAUUGGGGUAAUUAAAAAAUUUAAAAAAUUUUUUUAAAAUUUAACAAAAAUUAUUGAAUAAAUUAUCUUAAAAUUUAAAAUAUUAAAAUUAAUUACCUUAGGGAUAACAGCAUAAUUUUUUUUAAAAGAUCUUAUU